ACUUUGAUACUCGCAUCAACAAAUCUCCUCACUGCGAGAAUUGCUGCUGGUUGUUUAAUUGUUGCUCUAUUUGUGGUGCUCUGUAUUGCUAAAAACUGGACACUCCGUGGACUUUGUAUCGAAAGUCACAGAAAGAGGAGGAUAUGGAGGAGAGAGGUAUGAGCAACUGGAGUUUCAGAAGAAAGCUAGGCAAUGUUACAAGGCUCUCCAUGAUGCUUCUUGGAAGAUUUUAGAAAAAUACAACAAGAAAGGCGUAAUCAUUUACAAUACCCUCGUAGGACUUCACGCCAUAGCUAUACUGAAUUGGAAGCUGAUUUACAAGCUAAGUGGGGCACAACAGAGCAGAUAGAUCGACCUAUACUCUGGAAGGAGGCCAGAAAAGAUUCUUCUGGCAACUAUGUCACCGAGCGUGACAAGGACAUGGGAGAGGCCAUCGAAGACAUGCUUGAGCAAAUAAAAGAGGGCAAACUGAUUGAGAUCGGAACAAAUGACAUCCUAACACAAGUGUUAGGUACUGCUGAGCACCUCGGUCGAGUUCGAGGCCAAAGUCGAGGUGUCACACAAAGAGACUACUUUCAUAAGCCUGUGGGGGGGGGGGGGGGGGUCUAAGGCUUGCUAGAGUUGCCUUUUGAAAUGAUAACUAGAUUUUCUUGAGCGGAUGGGUCAUAGAUAGAGUAAGGGUCUAAGAGGCUUGCUAGAGUUACCUUUUGAAAUCAUAGCUAGAGUUUCUUGAGUGGAUGAGUCAUAGCUAGAGUAACUUUUGAAAUCAGAAUUAAAAAAAUAUACUAACUGUAGUAUUUAGUUAGCACUUACAUAGUUAUCCCAAGUGAGUUCUAUAUUCCAAGUGAGUUAGCACUUACAUAUUUUGAUCUUGUAAUUUUUAGAUUUGGAACAUACUGAGUUCUAUUGAUUUUGUCUGCCCGUUGAUUCUA
This is an RNA transcript of Humulus lupulus (European hop), 932 nucleotides long. RefSeq lists it as uncharacterized. The record is from RefSeq and is a predicted model, not a curated record. Lineage: Eukaryota; Viridiplantae; Streptophyta; Magnoliopsida; Rosales; Cannabaceae. The transcript is spliced from 6 exons.